Molecule: non-coding RNA, 237 nt
Filed under: Glarea lozoyensis
Lineage: Eukaryota; Fungi; Ascomycota; Leotiomycetes; Helotiales; Helotiaceae
Source: RNAcentral
AAGGAAAGUCCAACGCAUAAUAGGCCAAAACACAUAACUACAUGAGUGUUUAGUAAAAACUAGGGUAUUUAGUAGAAAAUAUUAGCCAUCUUUAGCUAUAGCUAAAUGUAUUGAGGAUAAUUAAACUUAAAUUAUUUAAGACAAUUAAACUCAAUAUAGUUUAAGAUGUAUACGAGAUUACAAGCCUCUGGUUAUGCUUUAAUUUAUAUUAAUUUACUAUAACAGGAACCGGCUUAA